GAUUACCAAAACAAGCCUCCUAUUGGUUUCCCUGAUGAUGCUUUCCGUAAAAAUCUAGAAAGUGCUCUUUGUUUUGGUAACCCGCUACUGGUGCAGGACGUUGAGAGCUACGACCCAAUCCUGAACCCUGUGCUCAAUAGAGAAGUAAAGAAGACUGGAGGACGAGUUCUUAUAACUCUUGGAGAUCAGGAGAUUGACUUGUCACCUUCUUUCACCAUUUUCCUUUCAACGAGGGAUCCUUCUGUUGAAUUCCCACCUGAUCUUUGCUCUAGAGUCACUUUUGUUAAUUUCACCGUCACAAGGAGCAGUCUACAGAGCCAGUGCCUUAAUAGAGUUCUUAAAUUCAAGAGACCAGACAUUGUUGAGAAGAGAUUCGACCUACUUAAGCUUCAAGGUACAAAUCCUCAUU
This is a long non-coding RNA of Amphimedon queenslandica, 409 nucleotides long. RefSeq lists it as uncharacterized. The record is from RefSeq and is a predicted model, not a curated record. The transcript has 4 exons. NCBI's taxonomy places the organism in Eukaryota, Metazoa, Porifera, Demospongiae, Haplosclerida, Niphatidae.